Molecule: ribosomal RNA, 468 nt
Filed under: uncultured bacterium
Lineage: Bacteria
Description: partial 16S ribosomal RNA
Rfam family: Bacterial small subunit ribosomal RNA
Source: RNAcentral
GACGAACGCUGGCGGCGUGCUUAACACAUGCAAGUCGAACGGAAAGGCCCUGCUUUUGUGGGGUGCUCGAGUGGCGAACGGGUGAGUAACACGUGAGUAACCUGCCCUUGACUUUGGGAUAACUUCAGGAAACUGGGGCUAAUAUCGGAUAGGAGCUCCUGCUGCAUGGUGUGGGUUGGAAAGUUUCGGCGGUUGGGGAUGGACUCGCGGCUUAUCAGCUUGUUGGUGGGGUAGUGGCUUACCAAGGCUUUGACGGGUAGCCGGCCUGAGAGGGUGACCGGCCACAUUGGGACUGAGAUACGGCCCAGACUCCUACGGGAGGCAGCAGUGGGGAAUAUUGCACAAUGGGCGGAAGCCUGAUGCAGCAACGCCGCGUGCGGGAUGACGGCCUUCGGGUUGUAAACCGCUUUCGCCUGUGACGAAGCGUGAGUGACGGUAAUGGGUAAAGAAGCACCGGCUAACUACGUG